UACAGAGGUCUCAAGCGUUGUUCGGAUUCAUUGGGCGUAAAGGGCGCGUAGGCGGCGGGGUAAGUCGGGUGUGAAAUCUCAGAGCUCAACUCUGAAACUGCACUCGAUACUGCUCUGCUUGAGGACUGGAGAGGAGACUGGAAUUCACGGUGUAGCAGUGAAAUGCGUAGAUAUCGGGAGGAAGACCAGUGGCGAAGGCGGGUCUCUGGACAGUUCCUGACGCUGAGGCGCGAAGGCCAGGGGAGCAAACGGG
This 253-nucleotide ribosomal RNA is filed under the name uncultured bacterium. Its description in RNAcentral is "partial 16S ribosomal RNA". It matches the Rfam family "Bacterial small subunit ribosomal RNA", at positions 524 to 776 of the family's 1533-position model. The record is from RNAcentral.